UCCUUCCCUUCCACUGAAUACCAGCUAGCAUAGGUACUACGAGCCCUCUGUCCCACGCAUCUAACAUUACGUAUGGUUCACCGAUUCCACUGAAACUUUCAUCUAAAGAAGCGGAGUAGAGUGCGCUUUAGGUGAAGGGCCAUAAGUCUCUUCUUGGAUUUAUCUUUAUUCACUGAUCUGAGAGAAUAAAAAAUUCUUAUUGAUUCCACAGGGGGAGGUAGAGUUCUUGAAUGAAGUCUAUCUAAACAGAAGAUGAACUUCUCAAAUCAGGCUAGGCCUCUCCAGUUGAGCUGGGCGAUGGGGACCAGGAUGCGCUAGCAAUCGGCAUAUAGGAAAGUGAAAUGUAAGCCUUCCCGACAUGGUAUACUGCACCUUGCAUUCAUGAUAUAUACAUUCAACUCUACCUCAGAGAAAGGGUGAAAGCACACCCACACACUGUUUUUCUUUCACGGCAUGCUAUGGUUCCGCUUAUCUCCGAUGGUCUUCUAGACUUAGAAGAAGUCGUGUCCCUUCUGGACAUCUGCAAAGUACUUCCACAGCGAUUCCUCUUUAAGUAUGGGGACAAAAUUAUGGGGAAAGAUAGAAAGAUUGGGCCAUUGCACGGUCACCCUCACUGAACCAAGAAGAAUCUGAACUACGAUUCAGCCCAAGUCUUACCGAAAUCGGAUUUCCUUUUCGUGCCCUAUAUUAUAUAAAGAAAAAUAUGCUUUAUCUAUAAAAAAGAUUUCCCCUUUUUCUUCCCAGUCCAAUAUGUAAAUCAAAGGUCUUCAAACAAAGAAAGAGACUUUGGAUAGAACCAUAUGGAAUGCUAGGGUCUGUACCCUACUUUUUCUAUAAAGUCUUCAUACUUCCUCUAGGCAAUCUCUGAGAAAGAAAAAAAAUCACAGAGAUACUUACGAUUACGCGAAGUCACUUAUAAAGGUACCAUCUUGUAAAUCUCAUACUUCAUAGCAGAAGGUUACAAAAUAUACAAAAAAUUUUAAGUUGUCAGUUCACCACAAGGCAUGCAUCAAAGGAAGCUAUCCUAUUAGCUAUUGGCGCCAAGGAAUCCAAUCUUUCUUCUUUUAUGAGAUUUUUAGUUGACUCAUAGGAUUACUUGUUUUCUCUUAGGACAUUCCUAUGCUCCUAUUUUAGAUCUUCUGAAGCUUGAAUUACACUUUCAAGUAGGCCUUGGGAAAGUACUUUUGAGGUGAGGUAGAACCAAAGGGGGGUAGAUUUGGCUCUCUUUCUUCCAGCUUAUCUUUUCUCUUCUCCUGUCUGAUCCACCUAGUCCUUUCCCUAGCGAGCUUGGUUGGAUAAAGCUUGAAGAACAGAGGAGGCUAGGUUAGUCGAAAGAUGGUUAUCGGUUCAAGGAUGCAAGGUGACCCUGCUUUUCAGGGUGAGAAGGGGUAGAGAAAAUGGCCCGAGCCAAUGUUCGAGUACUAAGCGCUACGACGUUCAAGUAACCCAUGCCAUAAAACUAGGAAAAGCUUGAACGGCCUUCAACAAAAGGCUACCUGUACCUGAAAUCGACAUAGAUAGGUAGAGAACACCUAGGGGUGCCAUACAACUCUCUGACAGGAAAAAGGCAAAAUAGCCCUGUAACUUCAGGAGAAGGGGUGCCCCCCUCACAAAGAGGGUCGAAGUCACCAGGCCCGGGCAACUGUUUACCAAAAACACAGAUCUCCGCGAAGUUGUAAAACCAUGUAUGGGGGCUAACGCGUGCCCAGUGUUGGAAGGUCAAGGAAGUUGAUGACCUGAUGACAUGGGAGUCGGCGACCGAAGCCCUGGUGAACGGCGCCCAAAACUAUAACGGUCUGUAAGCAGCGAAAUUCCUUAUCGGGUAAGUUUCGACCCACACGAAUGAUGUAACGAUCUGGGCACAGUCUCGGAGAGAGGCUCAGUGAAAUAGACAUGUCCGUGAAUAUGCGGACUACAUGCACCUGGACAGAAAGACCCUAUGAAGCUUUACUGUUCCCCGGGAUUGGCUUUGGGCCUUUCCUGCGCAGCUUAGGUGGAAGGCAAAGAAAGCCCCCUUCUAGGGGGGCUGAGCCUUCAGUGAGAUACCACUCUGGAAGGGCUAGAAUUUGAAUCUUAUGUCAGGACCUACGGGCUAAGGGACAGUCUCAGGUAUACUGUUUCUAUGGGGUGUAGGCCUCUCAAAAGGGAACGGAGGUGUGCAAAGGUUUCCUCGGGCCGAACGGAGAUUGGCCCACGAGUGCAAAGGCAUAAGGGAGCUUGACUGCAAGACCCAUCCAUCGAGUAGGGAUGAAAGUCAGCCUCAGUGAUCCAAUAGUACCGAGUAGAAGGGUCGUCGCUCAACGGAUAAAAGUGACUAACGGGAUAACAGGCUGAUCUUCCCCAAGAGUUCACAUCAACAGGAAGGUUUGGCACCUCGAUGUUGGCUCUUCGCCACUUGGGGCUGUAGUAUGUUCCAAGGGUUAGGCUGUUCGCCCAUUAAAGCGGUACGUGAGCUGGGUUCAGAAUGUCAUGAGACAGUUCGGUCCUAGUGUGGGCAUUAGAGCAUUGACAAGACCUUUCCCUAGUAUGAGAGGACCGAGAAAGAUGCACAUAUGGUGUACCAGUUAUCAUGCCCAUGGUAAACGCUGGGUAGCCAAGUGCGGAGCGGAUAAUUGCUGAAAGAAUAUAAGUAGUAAGCCCACCCCAAGAUGAAUGUUCUGCUAUUCCGACUUCCCCAGAGUCGUCGAUAGCACAGCCGAGACAGCGCGGCUAGAUAGAGAAACAGAAGUUUUGAGAAUGAAAGAGAAUGUCGCGGCGAGACGAGCAGUUUAUCAUUACGAUACAUGUCAAGUGGAAGUGCAGUGAUGUAUGCAGCUGAGGCAUCCUAACAGAUCGAAAGACUUGAACCU
RNAcentral lists this ribosomal RNA (2849 nucleotides) under Pereskia humboldtii. RNAcentral's name for it is "bacterial LSU rRNA". The stretch from base 978 to 2849 matches the Rfam family "Bacterial large subunit ribosomal RNA". Lineage: Eukaryota; Viridiplantae; Streptophyta; Magnoliopsida; Caryophyllales; Cactaceae. The record is from RNAcentral.